UUUUAUUUCAUCUCAGUUAUUCAAUUUUAAUUUUGUUUCAAUAUAGUCAGUUCGCAAAUAAAAAAUUGACACGUGACAAAAACAACUAAUAAGAAAAAUAUAAUAAAUUAAUUUUUUAUCGGCAAAAUGACGAAAUUAUAAUUAAAACUAAAGUUGAAUAAUUAAAAUAAAAUAAAUUAAAAUGUUAUUAAAUGAAAUAAAGUUUAAAAUUUAAUGACCAGGUAUAUUAUUAUCUCGUAACUUAUAUAUUAUAACAGCUUACUAAUUUAACAAAUCCGAGGCAAAUACAACUUUUAAAGCCUACCCUAAUAUUUAACAUGACAUGCAAGUAAGUUACAGUUUAAAAAUAUGACAAAAAUCAGACCAUACAUCAUAGCAACCCAAUAACUUACACACCUAACAAUAUGAUUUAGUUUUAUCUAUGUUUUAUUACAUCUAUUUAUCUUAUUUAAGUCAUAUUAAUGAUUAAAACUAUAUUGAAUCUAAUUUGUGGACGUCUAUCUCCUUCCCUCUCCCAUGUUAUCUUAAGCACAUUAAAAAGGCUAAUAGCAUUGUCACUUGUCAAACAGAUUAGAGUUUUAUAUAAUUUUCUGACUCCCCACUUAAUUGUCAGUUAGUUGGAAGAGUGCUUCACUCGGUCUCCAAUAAAUGGAUGAAAACAAAUUGGUCAUUUCAUUUGGUCCCUUUGAGAUGGAUUAUUUGUAUAUAAAUUAGCCACUUGUUCUGUGACGAACUAAUCAACUUUUCAACGUGUUCAUAUCUUCUUGUCGUAUACAAAAUUGACGGUGGCUCCAGUCUUACAGGUAAUAUUUAUUCAGGCUUCGUUUCUAUAUAAGAAUCCUAUCUUAAUAGUCUUCAUGCUUUUAAUUUUUAAAGUGGAAGGCAUAAAAAAAUUUUAGGUAAUAAUAUGGCAGUUUAAUUAUCCGAAUUGCUAAAUAAUUGACUCAAUAGAAAACUAAUAUAUCAUCGAAAGGGAAGGAAAAAAAAAGUCAAUGAAGUCUUUUAAAAACUAGACCUCCACUAUCUAAUUAAUAAUGUAGGCAUAUAAUAUAUAUAUAUAUUAUAUUAUAUUAUAUGUUUGAGUUAAAAACUUUAUUUAAAUUAAAAUGUGUAUUUAUCAUUAAAUAAAUAUACUUUUCGAAAUGUAAAUAAAAAAAUUCUUAAAUUAUUAAUAGAUGUAGUAAUUUAUUAUACGAAUAGUUUUAUAAUAACUUAUAAAAUAAUUAUUUUCAUUUAGAAUCUACUAUCACUAUAGUUAUUUCUAUUUGUUGUUAUAUAAAUAUUUAAUUAGUCUAUGUAAUACUAAUUAUAUACUGAAUCAUUACAUGUAUUAUUCCUUUUGUAUUCAUAUUUUUUUAUUUUAAUUUAGUAAAAUAUGAAAUUCUACUCAUAUGCUUUUAAAAUAGUUUUAUUUUAUAGAGACUGUAUAUAUUUAUAUUUUUAUUAUUGUAUUUGUCAUUCACGUAAUAAAUUUUCAUCAAACAGAAUACUCCAUGCAAUGCAAAGUGAAUUAAUUAAGAAAAGACAACCAUAAUGAAAUUUAAAAUAAUAAUAGCAAAUACUCACAAACAGUGGCAGUCUGGAAAGUUGAAUAUCCAUCAUCAGCACUUCUGCUACCCGUAAUGACCGAUUUGCCCUUCCCAUCACCAACUAACAUAACGUUCUUUUGCUUUGUAGGCAGUUUGAGAUUCUCAUGGUAAGUUCCUGCUUUCACGUAAAUGACGUUUCUACCCCCACCACCCUCUCCUGCCAAAGAAUAACUCAU
Molecule: long non-coding RNA, 1765 nt
Filed under: Ricinus communis (castor bean)
Lineage: Eukaryota; Viridiplantae; Streptophyta; Magnoliopsida; Malpighiales; Euphorbiaceae
Description: long non-coding RNA (RCOM_LNC002243)
Source: RNAcentral